Molecule: long non-coding RNA, 964 nt
Filed under: Vulpes vulpes (red fox)
Lineage: Eukaryota; Metazoa; Chordata; Mammalia; Carnivora; Canidae
Description: lncRNA (ENSVVUG00000018613.1)
Source: RNAcentral
AUACUAUAUUGUGAGCUAAGGAGAGUGAGGUAGGAAAAUGCAUAAUCAGGGUGCUGCUGGCUGGAGAAAACUACUCAGUGCCUUUGAAGACAGCUCUAGUUAAGGUUCAAGAGCAGCCACUGCUAGCAUAAUUACUAUCAAUGAAAGUGGCAACACCCGUGGUGAGUUCCCAGAAUAGCUGAGAUUCUAAUUGAUAACACACAGAGAACACAAGCAAAUCAGAAAGGACAAAAGGCUAUUAAUUUUGAGUAUAAACUACAUGAAAUGAAAAUGAAGACAAGGAAAAUGUGUUUUAACAGAAAGAAAGGACUCUGUGCUCAGAAUCGGCUUCUUCCUUUUAUGGGAACUAAGGAAUGGCUGUUUCUCCUGGGAGAAUUAAGAAUUAAAGGCAGACUCUGGAGCUGUGUCAGUAUCCUCCCACAGAAUGAGUAUGGGGAAAUACUCUGCUGGGAAUCAUGACAGAUAAAAACUUAUGAGGAAGAACAAAACAUCAAGAGAGCCUGUCAAAAGCUGUGCCCUCCUCUUUAACCCAAAAGCCUGUGCUGAACCUUUUUCAUUGUCUUCAAAUGUUAUUAAAUAUCUUGUCUGUUGUUUUAAAGAGACCAAAACCAGUCUGGUUUCUUUAUAAGAGAAAACCCAGUCUUUGGGUAAAGUCACAAUGAUACUACACAUGCUUACAUGGUUUUGGUUAAUAGAAGUGUCAAGUUCUAAGGAGGUAUGAUUUCUAAACAGGAACAAAAUAAUUAUUACUUUCAUUUUACUAAUGAAACAACUUCUAGAGUUGCAGUGAGAGUAUUGGCCAGGAAGAAAAAAUACAAGCCUGGAGUCCUUUAAGAAUGGACUCCUUGGGGCAGCCCGGGUGGCUCAGCGGUUUAGUGCCACCUUCAGCCCAGGGCAGGAUCCUGGAGACCCAGAAUCAAGUCCCACAUCGGGCUCCCUGCAUGGAGCCUGCUUCUCCCUCUGC